RNAcentral lists this ribosomal RNA (253 nucleotides) under uncultured bacterium. RNAcentral's name for it is "partial 16S ribosomal RNA". It matches the Rfam family "Bacterial small subunit ribosomal RNA", at positions 524 to 776 of the family's 1533-position model. The record is from RNAcentral.
GACAGAGGGUGCAACCGUUGCUCGGAAUUACUGGGCGUAAAGCGCGUGUAGGUGGCCACGCAAGUCAGGUGUGAAAGCCCAGGGCUCAACCCUGGAAGUGCACAUGAUACUACGUGGCUGGAGUACUGAAGAGGAGAGCGGAAUUCCCGGUGUAGAGGUGAAAUUCGUAGAUAUCGGGAGGAACACCGGUGGCGAAGGCGGCUUCCUGGACCGAUACUGACGCUGAGGCGCGAAAGCUAGGGGAGCAAACGGG